RNAcentral lists this transfer RNA (89 nucleotides) under Adenocalymma moringifolium. RNAcentral describes it as "partial tRNA-Leu". The record is from RNAcentral. Lineage: Eukaryota; Viridiplantae; Streptophyta; Magnoliopsida; Lamiales; Bignoniaceae.
GACUUAAAAUCCCUCGACUUUUAAAUUCGUGAGGGUUCAAGUCCCUCUAUCCCCAAAAAAGGCUUCCCAAAAAUAUUGAACCUAUCCCC